RNAcentral lists this ribosomal RNA (437 nucleotides) under uncultured bacterium. Its description in RNAcentral is "bacterial SSU rRNA". It matches the Rfam family "Bacterial small subunit ribosomal RNA", at positions 954 to 1392 of the family's 1533-position model. The record is from RNAcentral.
UGGGAACGCGAAGAACCUUACCUAGACUUGACAUCUCCUGAAUUACUCUGUAAUGGAGGAAGCCACUUCGGUGGCAGGAAGACAGGUGGUGCAUGGUUGUCGUCAGCUCGUGUCGUGAGAUGUUGGGUUAAGUCCCGCAACGAGCGCAACCCUUAUUGUUAGUUGCUACCAUUUAGUUGAGCACUCUAGCGAGACUGCCCGGGUUAACCGGGAGGAAGGUGGGGAUGACGUCAAAUCAUCAUGCCCCUUAUGUCUAGGGCUACACACGUGCUACAAUGGUCGGUACAAUGAGAUGCAACCUCGCGAGAGUGAGCAAAACUAUAAAACCGAUCUCAGUUCGGAUUGUAGGCUGAAACUCGCCUACAUGAAGCUGGAGUUGCUAGUAAUCGCGAAUCAGAAUGUCGCGGUGAAUACGUUCCCGGGUCUUGUACACACCG